AACGAACGCUGGCGGCAUGCCUAACACAUGCAAGUCGAACGAGACCUUCGGGUCUAGUGGCGCACGGGUGCGUAACGCGUGGGAACCUGCCCUUAGGUUCGGAAUAACUCCCCGAAAGGGGUGCUAAUACCGGAUAAUGUCUUCGGACCAAAGAUUUAUCGCCUUUGGAUGGGCCCGCGUUGGAUUAGCUAGUUGGUAGGGUAAAAGCCUACCAAGGCGACGAUCCAUAGCUGGUCUGAGAGGAUGAUCAGCCACACUGGGACUGAGACACGGCCCAGACUCCUACGGGAGGCAGCAGUGGGGAAUAGUGGACAAUGGGCGAAAGCCUGAUCCAGCAAUGCCGCGUGAGUGAUGAAGGCCUUAGGGUUGUAAAGCUCUUUUACCCGGGAUGAUAAUGACAGUACCGUGAGAAUAAGCUCCGGCUAACUCCGUG
RNAcentral lists this ribosomal RNA (433 nucleotides) under uncultured bacterium. RNAcentral describes it as "partial 16S ribosomal RNA". It matches the Rfam family "Bacterial small subunit ribosomal RNA", at positions 29 to 507 of the family's 1533-position model. The record is from RNAcentral.